UGGCGGACGGGUGAGUAACGCGUGGGUAACCUGCCUCACACUGGGGGACAACAGUUAGAAAUGACUGCUAAUACCGCAUAAGCGCACGGGACCGCAUGGUCCGGUGUGAAAAACUCCGGUGGUGUGAGAUGGACCCGCGUUUGAUUAGCUAGUUGGUGGGGUAACGGCCUACCAAGGCGACGAUCAAUAGCCGACCUGAGAGGGUGACCGGCCACAUUGGGACUGAGACACGGCCCAA
RNAcentral lists this ribosomal RNA (238 nucleotides) under uncultured bacterium. RNAcentral describes it as "partial 16S ribosomal RNA". It matches the Rfam family "Bacterial small subunit ribosomal RNA", at positions 96 to 334 of the family's 1533-position model. The record is from RNAcentral.